Long non-coding RNA from Hippoglossus stenolepis (Pacific halibut), 391 nucleotides. RefSeq lists it as uncharacterized. The record is from RefSeq and is a predicted model, not a curated record. NCBI's taxonomy places the organism in Eukaryota, Metazoa, Chordata, Actinopteri, Pleuronectiformes, Pleuronectidae. The transcript has 3 exons.
CACCAGUCUUUCUCCAGCAAAGACAGAGAACCUGGUGGAGUUGGUUUGGAAGCAAAGGUAGUGCUGACCAGAGGCGUGAGCUGUGAAGGUGAAUUUACCAAAUUUACCAAAGCGCUUGGUCAUCACAACCUAGAGAGAAGGAAAGAUGCUGUUAGGCCAACAUUUCUUCAGCUACGAGUCAACAAAAUGGAGACGUGGGUAUUAAUAUUGGCACCAAAGUGGGGGGAGUUGUGGAUUGAAUUCGUAUCCCAAGGCUCCAACAAGAAAUAACCUAAAGGAGGAAUAUUCCCUCUCCGGGACUCACCGGUCACCAGCGUGUCCUCUGGAAUCUCCUCAAUGAUGCACUUUUCCUCCUGUUCUCCCAGAUCAAAAUACAUCGCUGUGGCCAGCA